This 328-nucleotide ribosomal RNA is filed under the name uncultured bacterium. RNAcentral's name for it is "bacterial SSU rRNA". It matches the Rfam family "Bacterial small subunit ribosomal RNA", at positions 8 to 334 of the family's 1533-position model. The record is from RNAcentral.
AGGGUUUGAUUCUGCUCAGGAUGAACGCUAGCGACAGGCUUAACACAUGCAAGUCGAGGGGCAGCACAGGUAGCAAUACCGGGUGGCGACCGGCGCACGGGUGAGUAACACGUAUCCAACCUUCCGUUUACUCAGGGAUAGCCUUUCGAAAGAAAGAUUAAUACCUGAUAGUAUGGUGAGAUUGCAUGAUAACACCAUUAAAGAUUUAUUGGUAAACGAUGGGGAUGCGUUCCAUUAGGUAGUAGGCGGGGUAACGGCCCACCUAGCCUGCGAUGGAUAGGGGUUCUGAGAGGAAGGUCCCCCACAUUGGAACUGAGACACGGUCCAA